Molecule: long non-coding RNA, 339 nt
Filed under: Brassica napus (rape)
Lineage: Eukaryota; Viridiplantae; Streptophyta; Magnoliopsida; Brassicales; Brassicaceae
Description: long non-coding RNA (BNAP_LNC015763)
Source: RNAcentral
GUUAAAGGGUGAGGUUUAGGAUUUAGGGUUUAGGGUUUAGGGUUUAGGGUUUAGAGUUUAGGGUUUAGAUUUUAGGGUUUAGGGUUUAGAUUUUAGGGUUUAGGGUUUUGAGUUUAGGGUUUAGGGUUUAUGGUUUAGGGUUUAGGGUUUAGAGUUUAGGGUUUAGGGUUUAGAGUUGAGAAAUGAGGUUUUGCGGAUAAGAUUUCAAAUUUUGAAAAAUAAAAAAAUUAAAAUUUUCAAUGGAUAAACUUAAAAAGAUGCUAUUUUGGUCAUUUUAGUUUUUAAGUGCUAUUUUUGUGAUAUAAACUUAGAAAAGUGAUAUUUUGGAGAUUUGCCCUU